GAUAGGGUGUGAGACGCGAAUUUAUGAAUAUUAAACAGUUGCUGUUGUUGUAGAAAAAUUUGAUAUGUAGACCAUUAGCAAGUGUAACUCUUACCCCAUUUUUUUUUGCAUAUAUGUGGAGGUUGCGUGACUCGCAACAAAACAGGAAGCAGUAUCGUCACCAGACCAAACGAAUAAGCUGCCGGCAAGGUCCACCAUGAACUUGCAGAAAAAAAGAAAUGGUACCCUGUGCCUUAGACCAACAGCUUCUAUUUCUGUUGUAAGCUACCUAGUGAUUUGUAUUUGUUUGUAAAAUACUUCUUAUAGGGCUGACUGCAGCUACUACUGUUUAUGGCAAGUGUAUCCAUAUUGAGGCCUUUGAAAAGUUAAUGGAAGGCUUUGACAUAUGGAACAACUUCACCCCUUCACUUGCACGAGGCACAAAUUCUCAUGAUCACACUUACCAAGAUGAAAGUCAUGAAUUUUUGCCUUUAAAUGGCACUAAUUUUACCAUGUUUGUACGUGGAAAUAGAAAGCAUGGUGUGGUUGGUCUCCAGGGUGCCCUGAUCACUUGCUUUACCUGUGAUCAUCAGGUACAUGCCUGUGAACAUGGCACAAAAAUUUUGGAAUCUGAGGAAGUUUUGGAACACAAAAUGCCUGAUUUCCUAGUGGAUUUUUUUUGCUGAGAAAAAUUAUCGGGAAUCCACUGUAGUUUCAGAAAACACCUCCCGUAAAGAAUGGAAAUUAAGACCAGUGUCUUCGAAUAAAAUUCCAUUUCAACUAUCUACAGCCCAGAAAGAAAUAUUCUCCACUUUGGAAAAUGUGCUACAAAUAAAAAUGUCCUCUACUGAUCUUGUGCUGCUUACCCCCAGCUUACCUCCCUGCUGCCCAAAGUGUUCAUCUCAGUGCAUUGGUCAGCCAAGGAAAGUUUUGUGCUUUUUGAAAAAGCAAAUGUUGCAUUGUGAAGUAUUAUACUAUACUUGUGUUGACGAAGCCUGUGAUG
This 982-nucleotide unclassified non-coding RNA is filed under the name Orbicella faveolata. RNAcentral's name for it is "uncharacterized LOC110044671, transcript variant X2". Lineage: Eukaryota; Metazoa; Cnidaria; Anthozoa; Scleractinia; Merulinidae. The record is from RNAcentral.